GUUCAAGUUCUCAUUAAUUAUAUC
RNAcentral lists this small nuclear RNA (24 nucleotides) under Arabidopsis thaliana (thale cress). RNAcentral describes it as "snRNA_16480". The record is from RNAcentral. Lineage: Eukaryota; Viridiplantae; Streptophyta; Magnoliopsida; Brassicales; Brassicaceae.